Molecule: long non-coding RNA, 3033 nt
Filed under: Salvia miltiorrhiza (redroot sage)
Lineage: Eukaryota; Viridiplantae; Streptophyta; Magnoliopsida; Lamiales; Lamiaceae
Description: long non-coding RNA (SMIL_LNC005884)
Source: RNAcentral
AUUAAAAGACUUUAAUUUUAUUAAUACGGCAAACACGCUGGACCUUAUUAGGCUCUGAUGAUAUUCACUUGGCCACAUUGUUGCUUGGACUUCAAGAAAUUACUUGAAAGCAUCCUCUCGAAGCUACUCGGCAGCCCCACACAAUCUGCACGAUCAAUUAUUCUAUUCCCCAUCUAAACCCCACGCCAAAAUUUAUUUCCACCUAUAUCCCCUCUAAACCCACACCUCUACCGUCCCUAUAUAAAAACCUCCACCUCCGCCCACUACUCAACCUCCUCCUUCUUCUCCAGAAGUACCAGAGCUGAUUCCAUGGUGGACGACGGCGGUGGCGGUGUCUGGCCGGCGUUCCCUGUAGCCUUUCUUCGACGGCGAGAGGGAGAUGGACAUUGGCGACGUCAGGAUUAGUCCUGCCAUGGAGUACAAGUCCUUUCAGCUAAUGCUAAGCGAGAAGAUAGGGAUCUCACCCAAUCAGAUUUCGAUAUACCUCGUCAAUCGGAGAAGGAACCGGAAGUCUCCUUUCUCCGACGAUCGCCGUCGGAUUCCGAUCACCGGAAAGGCCAACUUCGGCGCGAUAUGUCGCCUGAAGGAAUGCUGCUUCCUCGUCAUACUGAAGAGGUCGCGGAAGUCGAGGAGCCGCAGGGAGAGGACGAUGGCCGCCAAUUUCGUGUCUCGCGCGGAGGCGGUUCGUCCGGCGCCGGAGCAUCUGAUUCUGCUGAGGAGGAGUCAACCGGCGCCGCUAUACGGCCGGAUUGCUCAGCCGGAAGGAGGAGACGCGAAAUCGCCGUUGCUGAAAGGCGAUUUGUUUCCGGCGACUGAUCCGACGUGGUUGGCCAUGAACGGAAAUGGAGACGGCAAGGCCUUCUGUGAAGAAUGCUGGAACGCGGAGAAGAAUGGAGGUACGAUGUCGUUCCAUCCCUGCAUCAACGACGCGGUAAUUACUCGGUUCACCACGCGGUUAGGGCCGAUUAAUCGACCCAAUAAAUGCUCUUAAAAAUAUUAACUAUAUAUAUUCUACUUAAAUAGAAUAGAUAACAAUAGCAGUAUUUCUGGGAAAGGGGCUCUGAAUGAGCCAUGUUCUGAUGGGUGCGGCCCAUGGCAACGCCGUGGGCACGAGAUACAUACGCACCUACUAAGGCGUAGGCAGCUUUAUCUGCGUGAUGAUCGAUUGACCAUUAUGCCACUGAGAGUAACGGUUGUUGAAAUGCCUGCUUCUGUUGCUAUGUCAGAAGGGUAGUAUUGUAAAUUAAUCCUUCAAUUUCCAUGUCAUUAUCUUAUAAAUGUUUAUAUAUCACGAUGUUAUGGUAGAAUUAGAUUUUCUUUCUUGCUUNUAGUUUAUUCUACCUUACAAUUCACAAUUAAUGUAGGUUUAGUUGUGAGUUCCCUUAAAUAGUUAUGAAUUUGCAAUUCAUGAUUAAAUAUUGUAAACUUAUCUUUUAUUUAUACUUCACAACUAAAAUGUUUUUCUACUAUGAAAUAAAUGUUUUGCUUACAAUUCACGAUCAAGACUUUAUAAAUUCGUGAAUUUUAACCUUUAUGAAUUAAAGGCAAAAUAAUGCGUUAAGCCAAAAAUAUAAUUAUUUAUAUUUUUUUCAGAAUUAUUGCUAUCUUUAUUAUAUUAAGUAAUUAAUUAUUUUGAUAUUGUAACUCUAAUAGCUAUCUCUAAUCGGCCUAAAAAAUAAAAUAAAACUGAGUCCAUUGUAGCAUGAUCUUCCAAUUCAUUUGUUUGAUUAUUAUAACUAGUGUGUAACCCAUCGAAAAUUUGGACGAAUGAUAUUUAUGUUUCGUUGUCACGCAUUAAUUUGUGAUGUUUGAUCUUUUAAUAGGUCUUUUUGAAAAUAUUCCUUUUGUUUCAAACAAAUAGUUUCAUGACACAACUUUUAGUAAAAAUUGUGAGUGAAAAAAUUAUCAUAUUUUAGAACUAGUAUUAAUAGAUUAAUUAAUUAUAUAUAAAUGGAGUAAGAGGCCCAUCAUCUAGUUGAAUAGGUAAAUAAUUGAUGUAUUAAGAAUAAUAUGUUAUGAAAAAUUAUCAUACCUUUUAAUUAAUUGUAUGUAAGUAGAGAAAGAGGUCAUCAUGUAAUUGAAUGAGUAAAUAAGUCGAUAUAUUAAAAGUAAUAUUGGAUGGUGUCUUAAAAUGAAAGUAAAUUAAUUUUUUAUGGAUUUACAAAAUGACAAAAAUAAACUAUUUUAUGCGAUAAAAUGAAUAUGAUACUAUUUGCCAUUUGCCAUGCCAAUAAGAUACAACACGAUUUAUGAUUAUAUGGGAUUGAUUUUAUAUAAAUAAACAGAUUUAUUAUAAAUAUAUUAUGAAAUAUUAAAUUGCUAUAAAUAUUAUAAAUAAAUAAAAUAAUUAUUAUAAAAAUCAUAUUUAAACCAUGAAUUCAUUUAACUUUAAAUUAAUACAUUAUAAAUCUUUAUAAUUAACUUAAAAGUGAAAUGAGAAGUUGAGUCUAAUUAAAAGACUUUAAUUUUAUUAAUACGGCAAACACGCUGGACCUUAUUAGGCUCUGAUGAUAUUCACUUGGCCACAUUGUUGCUUGGACUUCAAGAAAUUUCUUGAAAGCAUCCUCUCGAAGCUACUCGGCAGCCCCACACAAUCUGCACGAUCAAUUAUUCUAUUCCCCAUCUAAACCCCACGCCAAAAUUUAUUUCCACCUAUAUCCCCUCUAAACCCACACCUCUACCGUCCCUAUAUAAAAACCUCCACCUCCGCCCACUACUCAACCUCCUCCUUCUUCUCCAGAAGUACCAGAGCUGAUUCCAUGGUGGACGACGGCGGUGGCGGUGUCUGGCCGGCGUUCCCUGUAGCCUUCUUCGACGGCGAGAGGGAGAUGGACAUUGGCGACGUCAGGAUUAGUCCUGCCAUGGAGUACAAGUCCUUUCAGCUAAUGCUAAGCGAGAAGAUAGGGAUCUCACCCAAUCAGAUUUCGAUAUACCUCGUCAAUCGGAGAAGGAACCGGAAGUCUCCUUUCUCUGACGAUCGCCGUCGGAUUCCGAUCACCGGAAAGGCCAACUUCGGCGCGAUAUGUCGCCUGA